Molecule: ribosomal RNA, 106 nt
Filed under: Pogona vitticeps (central bearded dragon)
Lineage: Eukaryota; Metazoa; Chordata; Lepidosauria; Squamata; Agamidae
Source: RNAcentral
AUUUUCCAUCACACCAUCAUGAUUCUGCUCUCAUCUGAUUUAAGAAGCUAAGCAGGAGUGGACCUGGCUAGCACUUGGAUGGGAGAAAGAAUCCAGCCUGAAAUUC